AACGAACGUUAGCGGCGCGCCUAACACAUGCAAGUCGAACGCGACAGGGGCAACUCUGUUGAGUGGCGCACGGGUGAGUAACACGUAGGUAAUCUCCCCCCGAGUGGUGGAUAACCUUCCGAAAGGAGGGCUAAUACAGCAUAAGACCACGGCUUCGAAAGGAGCUGAGGUCAAAGCGGAGGAUCGCAAGACUUCGCGCUUGGGGAUGAGCCUGCGGCCCAUCAGGUAGUUGGCGGGGUAACAGCCCACCAAGCCUAAGACGGGUAGCUGGUCUGAGAGGAUGAUCAGCCAACCUGGAACUGAGACACGGUCCAGACUCCUACGGGAGGCAGCAGUGGGGAAUCUUGCGCAAUGGACGAAAGUCUGACGCAGCGACGCCGCGUGGGUGAUGAAGGCCUUCGGGUUGUAAGCCCUGUGGGGAGGGACGAAUAAGUUUCAGCUAAUACCUGAAGCGAUGACGGUACCUCCUUAGCAAGCACCGGCUAACUCUGUGCCAGCCGCCGCCGUAA
This 509-nucleotide ribosomal RNA is filed under the name uncultured bacterium. Its description in RNAcentral is "partial 16S ribosomal RNA". It matches the Rfam family "Bacterial small subunit ribosomal RNA", at positions 29 to 523 of the family's 1533-position model. The record is from RNAcentral.